UGCAGUCGAACGGUGAAGCUCCAGCUUGCUGGAGUGGAUCAGUGGCGAACGGGUGAGUAACACGUGAGCAACCUGCCCCAGACUCUGGAAUAAGCGCUGGAAACGGCGUCUAAUACUGGAUACGAGAUCAGUCCGCAUGGGCAUGGUCUGGAAAGUUUUUCGGUUUGGGAUGGGCUCGCGGCCUAUCAGCUUGUUGGUGAGGUAAUGGCUCACCAAGGCGACGACGGGUAGCCGGCCUGAGAGGGCGACCGGCCACACUGGGACUGAGACACGGCCCAGACUCCUACGGGAGGCAGCAGUGGGGAAUAUUGCACAAUGGGCGAAAGCCUGAUGCAGCGACGCCGCGUGAGGGAUGACGGCCUUCGGGUUGUAAACCUCUUUCAGCAGGGAAGAAGCGAAAGUGACGGUACCUGCAGAAGAAGCACCGGCUAACUACGUGCCAGCAGCCGCGGUAAUACGUAGGGUGCGAGCGUUGUCCGGAAUUAUUGGGCGUAAAGAGCUUGUAGGCGGUUUGUCGCGUCUGCUGUGAAAAUCCGGGGCUCAACCCCGGACUUGCAGUGGGUACGGGCAGACUAGAGUGUGGUAGGGGAGACUGGAAUUCCUGGUGUAGCGGUGAAAUGCGCAGAUAUCAGGAGGAACACCGAUGGCGAAGGCAGGUCUCUGGGCCACUACUGACGCUGAGAAGCGAAAGCAUGGGGAGCGAACAGGAUUAGAUACCCUGGUAGUCCAUGCCGUAAACGUUGGGCGCUAGGUGUGGGACUCAUUCCACGAGUUCCGUGCCGCAGCUAACGCAUUAAGCGCCCCGCCUGGGGAGUACGGCCGCAAGGCUAAAACUCAAAGGAAUUGAC
This 848-nucleotide ribosomal RNA is filed under the name Janibacter sp. Its description in RNAcentral is "bacterial SSU rRNA". It matches the Rfam family "Bacterial small subunit ribosomal RNA", at positions 56 to 914 of the family's 1533-position model. Lineage: Bacteria; Bacillati; Actinomycetota; Actinomycetes; Micrococcales; Intrasporangiaceae. The record is from RNAcentral.